Molecule: ribosomal RNA, 445 nt
Filed under: uncultured bacterium
Lineage: Bacteria
Description: partial 16S ribosomal RNA
Rfam family: Bacterial small subunit ribosomal RNA
Source: RNAcentral
GUGAGGAAUAUUGGUCAAUGGACGAGAGUCUGAACCAGCCAAGUCGCGUGAAGGAAGACGGUUCUAUGAAUUGUAAACUUCUUUUGUGCAGGAAUAAAGUGGGUUACAUGUAACCUUUUGUAUGUACUGUACGAAUAAGGAUCGGCUAACUCCGUGCCAGCAGCCGCGGUAAUACGGAGGAUCCGAGCGUUAUCCGGAUUUAUUGGGUUUAAAGGGUGCGUAGGUGGAUUGAUAAGUCAGCGGUGAAAGUUUGCAGCUUAACUGUAAAAUUGCCGUUGAAACUGUCGGUCUUGAGUGCAAAUGAGGUAGGCGGAAUGUGUUGUGUAGCGGUGAAAUGCUUAGAUAUAACACAGAACUCCGAUUGCGAAGGCAGCUUACUGGGAUGCAACUGACACUGAUGCACGAAAGCGUGGGUAUCAAACAGGAUUAGAUACCCGAGUAGUCC